GUGGGGAAUAUUGCACAAUGGAGGAAACUCUGAUGCAGCGACGCCGCGUGAGCGAAGAAGUAUUUCGGUAUGUAAAGCUCUAUCAGCAGGGAAGAUAAUGACGGUACCUGACUAAGAAGCUCCGGCUAAAUACGUGCCAGCAGCCGCGGUAAUACGUAUGGAGCAAGCGUUAUCCGGAUUUACUGGGUGUAAAGGGAGUGUAGGUGGCAAAGCAAGUCAGUAGUGAAAAUCCGGGGCUCAACCUCGGAACUGCUAUUGAAACUGUUUAGCUAGAGUGCAGGAGAGGUAAGUGGAAUUCCUAGUGUAGCGGUGAAAUGCGUAGAUAUUAGGAGGAACACCAGUGGCGAAGGCGGCUUACUGGACUGUAACUGACACUGAGGCUCGAAAGCGUGGGGAGCAAACAGG
This 405-nucleotide ribosomal RNA is filed under the name uncultured rumen bacterium. Its description in RNAcentral is "bacterial SSU rRNA". It matches the Rfam family "Bacterial small subunit ribosomal RNA", at positions 354 to 776 of the family's 1533-position model. The record is from RNAcentral.